GACGAACGCUGGCGGCGUGCCUAAUAUAUGCAAGUAGAACGCUGAAGGAGGAGCUUGCUUCUCUGGAUGAGUUGCGAACGGGUGAGUAACGCGUAGGUAACCUGCCUGGUAGCGGGGGAUAACUAUUGGAAACGAUAGCUAAUACCGCAUAAUAGUAGAUGUUGCAUGACAUUUGCUUAAAAGGUGCAAUUGCAUCACUACCAGAUGGACCUGCGUUGUAUUAGCUAGUUGGUGGGGUAACGGCUCACCAAGGCGACGAUACAUAGCCGACCUGAGAGGGUGAUCGGCCACACUGGGACUGAGACACGGCCCAGACUCCUACGGGAGGCAGCAGUAGGGAAUCUUCGGCAAUGGACGGAAGUCUGACCGAGCAACGCCGCGUGAGUGAAGAAGGUUUUCGGAUCGUAAAGCUCUGUUGUAAGAGAAGAACGAGUGUGAGAGUGGAAAGUUCACACUGUGACGGUAUCUUACCAGAAAGGGACGGCUAACUACGUG
This 495-nucleotide ribosomal RNA is filed under the name uncultured bacterium. Its description in RNAcentral is "partial 16S ribosomal RNA". It matches the Rfam family "Bacterial small subunit ribosomal RNA", at positions 28 to 507 of the family's 1533-position model. The record is from RNAcentral.